AGCUCAGUAGCUCAGCUGGUAGAGCAUGCGCGUAUUAAGCGUAGGCGGUGUCCAUGCGUGGGUUCGAAUCCCACCGAAGCUA
This 82-nucleotide transfer RNA is filed under the name Echinostoma caproni. It matches the Rfam family "tRNA". From Rfam's summary of the family: Transfer RNA (tRNA) molecules are approximately 80 nucleotides in length. Their secondary structure includes four short double-helical elements and three loops (D, anti-codon, and T loops). Lineage: Eukaryota; Metazoa; Platyhelminthes; Trematoda; Plagiorchiida; Echinostomatidae. The record is from Rfam by way of RNAcentral.